This is a long non-coding RNA of Daphnia magna, 290 nucleotides long. RefSeq lists it as uncharacterized. The transcript is spliced from 2 exons. Lineage: Eukaryota; Metazoa; Arthropoda; Branchiopoda; Diplostraca; Daphniidae. The record is from RefSeq and is a predicted model, not a curated record.
GUAGAAGUCUAGAAGACUAUGAUUCAACUUGGUCUGCGCGAGACGGUCUCGAAGGGUCGAGACCUUCACAACACAGUCUUCACCCGUGAACGGAUUCAGAUCCAAGUACGUUAUUCCAUGAAAACGGAUGCCGCGAGUGGUGACCAACGGAUUCGUUUCCCUUCACUGAUGGGCAAGUAAUCGCGCCACCUUUCCUCCGUACAUAGUUUGAAUGUUGAAUUUCCGUUCACGGAUUGUAUUUCAAUUUUCAGUGUUAAAUUUGUAUUACAAGUAUUACAAUGUUUACAGGA